This 8123-nucleotide long non-coding RNA is filed under the name Brassica napus (rape). RNAcentral's name for it is "long non-coding RNA (BNAP_LNC001417)". The record is from RNAcentral. Lineage: Eukaryota; Viridiplantae; Streptophyta; Magnoliopsida; Brassicales; Brassicaceae.
UUGUUCUUUGCUGGAGCUUGGUUUUCAAGUUUGGGCUUGGAAGCUUAGGUGCAGCUAUUGCGAUCAGUGUUUCUUACUGGCUUAACGCAACUGUGCUUGGAUUGUAUAUGACGUUUUCUUCUACCUGUAGCAAGACUCGUGGGAAGAUCUCCAUGAGUGUGUUUAAAGGAAUGAAAGAGUUUUUUCGAUUUGGAGUCCCAUCUGCAUCUAUGAUUUGGUAUGAACAACCUCUUUGUUUCUUAUUUGGUUUUGGUCACACUGUAAUGAUCAUAUUAUUGUGUGUUAUGGUGUUGAAUUAGCCUUGAGUGGUGGUCAUUCGAAUUUCUUGUCAUGCUCUCUGGAAUUCUACCAAAUCCAAAGCUAGAAACCUCUGUUCUCUCAGUGUGGUAUGUUCCUUAUCUUUUAAACCGGUCCUACCAUUUUAGGGACCAAAAACAAUUUAGUAAGAAUUUUGAUAAAUCUAUUUUCUUAUCAAUUUAGGAGCAUAUGUUCAUUUAUACUGAUUUAAAAAUUUUGGAGAGCAAAGACCAAUGUUUCACUUCUCUAAGCCCAUGACCGGCUUUGCUUGUAUUUUGGAAUGAAAUAUCAUCAUAUAAACUUACUUGCAUGCUUCCUUGUUUUAACAGUCUAUCAACAAUCUCCUCCUUGUACCAAAUACCGGAGAGUCUAGGCGCAGCAGCAAGGUUCUUUCUCUCUUUUUUUUUUUUAUUUAAUAAGAAAAGGAGAUAUCUAAAAACCAUCUGAUCACAGCUGUCUUUAUAUUUUAUUGGUGUUGUAUGCAGUACAAGAGUUGCAAACGAAUUGGGAGCUGGAAACCCAAAAAAAGCUCGAAUGGCGGUUUACACAGUGAUGGUUAUCACAGGAGUGGAAGCACUGAUGGUGAGUGCGAUAGUCUUUGCUGCAAGAAACGUAUUUGGUUACCUAUUCAGCUCUGAAACCGAAGUUGUGGAUUAUGUAAGAACAAUGGCUCCUCUGGUUUCUUUAUCAGUCAUAUUCGAUGCUCUUCACGCAGUUCUUUCAGGUUAGAAUCUGUUCCUAUAGUACUGUUGAAGUCAUUGAAUAAUUAAGAGACUAACUUAAUGAAUAAAAACAGGUGUGGCUAGAGGAUCAGGGAGGCAAGACAUUGGAGCAUAUGUUAACCUAGCUGCAUAUUAUCUUUUUGGAAUACCAACUGCUGUUGUAUUAGGAUUUACGUUUAAAAUGAGAGGAAGAGGACUCUGGAUUGGUAUCACGGUCGGGUCUUGUGUACAAGCUGUUUUGCUUGGUCUUAUCGUCAGCCUCACCAACUGGAAACAACAGGUUAGUAAAUUACUGAAAGUGAUACGUACGUCUUUUAAUUUGAUAUGUUGGUUUCAUACAUUUAAUGAUUGUAUGAUUAGUCCAUGUAAGAGAGUUAAGUGAAAGUGAUGUCUAUUUAAUAUUCAUGUGAAUCAUGUGGGCAUUGCAGGUGAGGAAGGCAAGAGAAAGAUUGAUGGGUGAUAAGUUUGAAGACGACGAACAUGUAGAGAUCAUCAGUUAAAAUCAAAAGAGUUAUUGGAUCAUUAUUUUGUCAUUUAAUGUUGUUUUUUUCAUAUUUCAGAAUACAGUAAAACAGUAAUGGGAAGGAUUAGAAUGUGCACACACAUGUACGUGCACAUGAGUUAUGGCAUCUACUUUCUUUCCCAUACACAUGAACAUGAAGUUAUUUUCCUAUCAAAUUAAAGGUUAAUAAUCUUUAAUCAAACAAUAUUAGUUAUUAAGAAAAUGUCCAAAACAAAGGCCUUGUCUAGUUAAUUUGAAAUGGAAUAAAAUCCUAACUAGAGACACUUUAAAGGGUUGGGCAUCACUCCCAACCGAAUCCAAUCCAAAAAAUCUGAACACAAACCUGAUCAAAUUUAUAAAAAAUACCUAAAUGGAUAUUGAGUUAGCACAAACGGUAUAUCCAAACCUGAUCAUAUAAUAUUUACUCCAUAUAUAUAAUAUCGAAAGUUAAUCCGAGCAUAUCCGAAAUUGUUAACAUAAUUCUCUCCUAAACCCAAAAUAUUAUGUCAUUUGUUAAUAUGUUUUAUAUUUUGUUUAUUUGAAUUUCAAUUUCAUUUUUAGAUAUUUGUGUUUGUUUGGAAAUAAAUAUAAGAUCGGAUGAAAACACUUAAAGAGAUGACAAUAUUUUAGGUAUUUUAAAAGAUUAUGUAUCUGUAUAUUCAGUUAUAUUCAAAUUCUUGGAUUCAAAGCUUACCAAACCGAACCCUACCUAAAAUAUGAAAAGUACUUGCAUACAUAGUUGAUUCUUAGACCAAAUUAUCAAAAAAUCUGAAAUAUCCGAACCAAAUCAAAUCCAAAAAAUAUUCGAAUGCUUAAACCUACUAAAAUUAAACCACUAUUUUUCAAGGUUCUCGGUCUUCUUAAAUUUCAGUAUUUCAGGCAUUGCCUGAAUUUUGUGUGUUCUUCAGUAAUAACUAUCUAUUCUAUUAACACUGAAGUACAAAAAACUUCUUGCCUUUUUUAAAGUGGGUUUCUAACCAUUUAAUUUAUUAUUUUCAUUUAAGUUAAGUGUUUUAUUACAGUUUUUAUAUUUUUUUUAACUCUUCUAAAUUACUUCAUUAAUUGCAUUUACUUUAAUAAUUCAAUGUCAUUUAUUAUGCGUAUUAACCAAAAUAAUUUCACGUGUCAUAAUUGCUCCAUUAGUAAAAAAAAAUUUAAACCAGUUAACAAAUUUUUUUAUUUGUUUACAUAAUCAGUUAGACAUGAGCUUUCAGGUAUACGUUUGGAUAUAGAUCGGUUUUUACGUGUAUCGAGUUUUUGAAUGUUAAAAUUAAACUAUAUUCGAAUAUUAUAAAUUAUCCAGGGUACUUAGUGGGGAUUAUGUUCACUAUAUCUUCAAGUCUUCUGUUAUACUUCUUGGCCAUAACAUUCAUCUUGCCAAAGCAUUUAUUGGUUGGGGCAUUAGGAAGCAAGGCUCUUGCAGGGACACAUCCUACUGGACCUAAAGAGAAGAUGGCGAUGCGACGAGCUCCUAGUUUGUAGAUUUGAUCAAUGGUUUUGUUAACUUGGGUUAACAUUGAGUCUACAUAGUCGUCUGGAGAGAGUGUAGUGGUUUGGAAUGGAAGAAAGUAGUUAAAGAUGUCGUUGGAACCAGACUCUAAUAAGAAGAGAGAUUCUUGGAUUACAGAUUUUUCUAUUUUGUUCUGCUCUACAAGUGUUUGGAAUUGCUGAAGUUGCGUUUGGAUCGGUGUCACUCUCUGGAUUUAUACAUGUAAACGGAUGAUUCAUAAGAAACAAAACAUUAAGAGAGAGAGAGAGAUGUUAUAGUUAUAUAGUUACCAUGUCUUUGUUGGUAUCAAGCAAGAAUCCACUACCGGCACUGGCGAAGUUAAUGCCAUUAGAAGGGAAUCGUUUUAAAGUUCUGUUCAAGAUUUGGAUCUGCAGUUCCAAGAAUGAUUUCUGUAAUGGAAGACCUAUAAAUUGCGCUGCAAGGAAUCAAGAAAAUAGAGAAAAGUAAGGUGUCUUGAGGAAAAAGCAAGUAAUUAAAGAGUUGGGAGGCAUUAUUAUUACAUAUGAAGUCAGCUACGGUUCUUCCAUUGGUGAACCUCCCGGUAGGUUGGUGGAAGAAGGAAGAGCCAUAAGGAGGAAAAUCAGCUUGAGCAGUGCAGUUUUUGUUGAAAUGAUUGUUUCCUGCGUCGAAAAUGGAGUCGCCAAAGGUAAAGAUGGCAGGAAGGGAGGGAGAAGACUUGGCCAGAGCCACGGGAGAGGCUAGAAGGAGCAGAGUAACGAGUAAGUCCAUUGAAGACAUGUGUGAGGAUAAAUUCAAAGACAUUAGUUAUAUAUAUUAACACUCACAUCAUUUAGAUUAGUGUAGAGUCAGUCACACUGAAAUUAAGGUAUGUAAAAAUUUGCAACGGAAAGGCAAGAGCAUUGUUCAUGUUUAUACAGUUUCUCUUUGGUGUGAUUAAAGUUAGAGGUUGUUCCCAAUUUUCUUAGUUAUAGAUGAUUCCUGUGACUGUUCAAUUACCUUAAAAACAACAUUAGAAAAUAAACUAUAUUAUCUAACUAGUAUUUAUUAACUAAUUAGAAAAUAAAAUUUUAAGAAUUGUGUUUCUAUCAUGUUUUCAAUUUCUCUAUUAUCAAAACAUAAUAACUAAAAAAAAUCGAAAUAAUGAUUUGCAAUUUGUCGAAAAACAAAAUAAAACACACUUAUUUUCUUGCAAUUUUAAUGGACCGUAUGGGCCUGACCUCAAAAGCUUAUCGAUUUUAGGACAAAAAUAAUAAAAAAAAACAAAUGGAGAGGCAUCAGGAAAAGGAGACUCUAAAAGAAUAAAAACAUAUUCUCAAAGCAUCAGAAAAUGCCCAAAGCAACAGGGGAGCCUCUCUCCCUCCUUUAUUACCCCCUGAGCCGAAACCCUAAUUUUCAAAAUUCACCAUCCCUAGAUGAAGCGCAUCGUCAGAAUCUCAGUCACCGACGCAGAAGCCACCGAUUCUUCCAGCGACGAAGACACGGAGGAGCCCUGCCGAGAAACAACAACAACAGCCCAGGUCCGCCGCCGCCGCGGGAAACGCCUCGUCAAGGAGAUCGUAAUCGACCCUCCCGACUCCGACGACAACCGCGACGCCUGCAAGACGCGGUUCAAAAUCAGGAUCCCGGCGGAGUUUCUCAAGGCGACGGCGGAGGGGGGGAAGAAGAAGUUCCGCGGAGUGAGGCAGAGGCCGUGGGGGAAAUGGGCGGCGGAGAUCAGAUGCGGCCGAGCUCUCAAGGGACGCCGCGAUCGUCUCUGGCUUGGGACUUUCGACACGGCGGAGGAAGCUGCUCUUGCUUAUGAUAACGCGGCUGUUCAGCUUAUUGGACCUCACGCGCCGACCAAUUUCAGUUUCCCGGCGGAGAGCCAAGAGGUGAAGAUGGUGGCCGGCGCAUCCGCCGUUGCUCGAGUCGCUUAAUUGGGGAUUUGUUUUGUCAUUUAGUUGGUCGUGUUGAAUUAGCAAUGAAGGUCUGUUGUAAUGGACUUUGUAAAUGAAUCUGUCUGUGCUGAAUCUCCUCAUGUUGCUUCUGCUCUUGCAUGUUGUGGUCUCUCUGUGUAUGUGUUUGUUACAUCGACGACGAGAUUGAAACCCUGAAAUAAAGAUUAGGAAAGUUGGGGUUUUUUGAAUCGGGACUUAUUCGUUAUAAGAGGAAACUCACCUGGAGAUAGAUUGGAGAUGUUUUAAGUGAACCAAACCAACAUUCCUAAUCCAAUCAAUUUCGGGUUAGUUAUUCGUUAGAAUUCAGUUUAUAAUAACAAAACGAACUUAAUUGAACUGAAUAUUAACCGAACGAAACCAAAAUAAUGAAGGUUGGGCAUAUAUUCAGAGUUUCGGACCCAUCGAAUUCAAUCCAGAAAAUAUCCAAAAUUAUAUAAAAUGUUUAUAACAUAUUUUUUUCUUAGAUCUAAAUAUUUUCUGUGUGUGUUUUGUUGACAGAUUAAGUGUUUUAGUUAUUUGAACCUCAAUUUAUUUUUUGAUAUUUAUGUUAGUUUGGUCUAAAUAUAAGUUUAGAUGAAAACCCCAAAAACAUUUUAAUAUUAUAUGUAUUUUUGAAUAAUUAAUACAAAGAUAUAAGAUUUUGGUUACACCCAAAGGUUUCUGAAUCCAAAACUUACCGAACCCUCUGAUCCACAGAAAAAAGGAAAAUCUGAAUGGAUAUUAAAUUUCUAAACUGAAUAUUCGAAAAUAUGAAUGACUGGACCGAAUCCAAACGAUAUCUUGACCCUCAUGACUACUUUGAAUAGAGGUUUUUCACUGAUUAGAGUUCAAUUGCAAUUACUAAAAAGAAAUUAACAUAACUGAACCCGGAAAAAUAACUAAACCACUAGUUUGAAAAUAUAAUUUGUAAAUAUGUAAAGCUAUUCGAACACUACACAAUUAUUGUUUCUAUAAAUGUACUUGUGUGUAGUUAUUCAUAUUUUUGUACAUGGAAAAACUUAAAAACAAGAAAAGAAUCAAAUCGCAAAAAAAAAGGAAUCAAAUUGCCUACUAAUUUGUCGCCACCAUAAAAUACAAACAUUGUACUAAUGGCUUCACUAAACUAAUUUAUAUGUUUUUUGCAUCUUUUGAUCCUUGUAUGUGUUCAGCUAUACAUGUUUAAUUCCUAAUUUGCUAGUAGAAGCCUAUGAAAACUUUAGGCGGCCGAAGGAAACGUUUUUUCCUUUUCCUUUUUAGAGGAGUAGAAGAAUCACAAUACGGCUGACCGCUAAAUUCCAAAAGGAAAUACUUAAAAAUUAUGGAGAUUGGAAGCAAACAUCUCUGAAGAAAACAAGAAAAGAGUGAGGAAACACAUUGAGUGGGUUUAAAAAAGGCAUACAAAUUUUCGCUUGUAUCGUUGAUUAUAAAUUUGAAAAUGGGUGGUUCCCAACUUGACAUGAUAUAAAAGCAUGAAGAGUUUUUGUUUUUUAGUGAGUGCCUUGAAGAGGAAGACACAAGCAUCCGUAUUGCCAAUAUAAUCAACAUUGAAACUAAAUUUUAACCAUUUCUAAUAUAUUUUGCUAUUUUAUAGUAUAAAAUAGAAUAAUUGUAAGGUAAAAUUUAUUCUAAUUCACUUUAAAAUAGCAUUCUUAUAUAUUCUAAAUAUAAUUAAAUGUUAUUUUUCUAAAAUAAAGAAAGAGAAAAAACUAUUUCAAAAAAAUGGAUUGGAAUAAAUUUACCUCUAAAUAAUAUUACAUGUAAAUAUAGACAUGAAUUGGAAAUGUUAUAAUAAACAUUGAAACUCUUUUAACCAAUCAGAGAACUAUAAAUUUUGUUCUCUUUUAACAAAUUACAAUGUAUUUAAGUUUGGUAAUUUCAAUACAGAAACUUUUCACCAACGGUUGAUCUCAGAUGCGUUUUCUUAAUUAGGCAUCAGUAUAAUGCCCCAAUUAGAUGAAUGACAGAGAACACAUGCAUUGGUGACAAAGUGAGACGCUGCUGCAUCUUGAAGAGGUAUAGAAUCAUAACACGACACUCCGCUAACUUCCACAAAUAUAAAUAACUCCUACUACUACUACUAUACAAAGUAGGGAGACUUUUAUUAAUAUUCAUCACAAAUCUCGAAGUCUCCGGAGAAACAGCAGAGAACUCAGGAAAAAUGGACACGGCGGAGAAGGGUCUGCUCGCUCUGAGCGGCGGAGGAGAAGAAGAAGUCAGCACGAGAGAUCGGUUUCUCCGGGAGAUGAGGAGGCUCAGUUACAUAGCAGGUCCCAUGAUUGCAGUAAACUCUUCCAUGUACUUUCUCCAAGUCAUAUCGAUCAUGAUGGUUGGUCAUCUCGGUGAGCUUUACCUCUCCAGCACUGCCAUAGCCGUUUCUUUCUGCAGUGUCACCGGCUUUAGCCUCGUCGUAUGAUCUCUUUCUCUAUCCUCUCUUCUCUUGAAAAACCAGUUCUAAAAAUCGCGGCGACCCCCAAAAAAUCGACCACCUAAACAAUAAUCCUCUAUUAAACGCCUAACCUAUUUUUAGAACAUUGCGAAAAACUAUGCCAACUAAGAUUUUGGAGCUAUAUAUAAUUUAGUAAAACAUUUAAUAAAAAUAUUUAGUAAGAAUUUUAAUAAAAAGAAAAGAUCUAUGUUUAUGUAAAUUUUUUAAAAAAAAAUUGUUUACAGUUUGGAUUGGCUAGUGCGUUGGAGACUUUAUGUGGUCAAGCUAAUGGAGCUAAGCAGUUCGAGAAGCUUGGCGAACAUACUUACACAGGGAUCUUCUCUCUGUUCAUUGUUUCUAUCCCUUUGUCUGUUCUCUGGAGUUACAUGGGUGAGAUACUCUCUUUCAUCGGACAAGAUCCUCUUGUUUCUCAAGAAGCAGGAAAGUUUGCCACUAGGCUCAUACCAUCACUCUUUGCUUACGCGACAUUACAACCACUUGUUCGGUUUUUCCAAGCGCAGAGUUUGGUUUUGCCUUUGAUUAUGAGCUCAAUGUCUGCUCUGUGUUGCCAUGUUGUUCUUUGCUGGAGCUUGGUUUUCAAGUUUGGGCUUGGAAGCUUAGGUGCAGCUAUUGCGAUCAGUGUUUCUUACUGGCUUAACGCAACUGUGCUUGGAUUGUAUAUGACGUUUUCUUCUACCUGUAGCAAGACUCGUGGGAAGAUCUCCAUGAGUGUGUUUAAAGGAAUGAAAGAGUUUUUUCGAUUUGGAGUCCCAUCUGCAUCUAUGAUUUG